RNAcentral lists this unclassified non-coding RNA (647 nucleotides) under uncultured Prochlorococcus sp. RNAcentral's name for it is "partial 16S-23S ribosomal RNA intergenic spacer; may also contain 16S ribosomal RNA and 23S ribosomal RNA". The stretch from base 306 to 378 matches the Rfam family "tRNA". Lineage: Bacteria; Bacillati; Cyanobacteriota; Cyanophyceae; Synechococcales; Prochlorococcaceae. The record is from RNAcentral.
UUGUGGAGGAGGACGCCGAAGGUGGGGCUAAUGACUGGGGUGAAGUCGUAACAAGGUAGCCGUACCGGAAGGUGCGGCUGGAUCACCUCCUAACAGGGAGACAACAAAAUGUUUAAUAUUAUUAUUUUGUCACCUUAGGUCGAUCGGUAUCUCACGUUCUUAAUUUAUUAAGAAUUUCAUUUCCUAAGUUUUUUCUAGGUCACACCCAUUAUUUUUCCUGGGCCAUUAGCUCAGGUGGUUAGAGCGCACCCCUGAUAAGGGUGAGGUCCCUGGUUCAAGUCCAGGAUGGCCCAUAUCUCUAUGUUGGGGGUAUAGCUCAGUUGGUAGAGCGCCUGCUUUGCAAGCAGGAUGUCAGCGGUUCGAGUCCGCUUACCUCCACUGAUUACCACCUCUUACAUAAUCUUUGAGAAGGAAAUGUUUUGAGUAGUGAUCAAAUUCUGAACGAAUCUAGCUUCCUAAUGAAAGCAUUAAGAUGCUGGACUCAUUGAAUUAAUUUCAUUGUUUUCAGAGAACCUUGACAACUGCAUAGAUUAUUUUUAAAGACAAUAAGCAUCUUUAAUGAUGCAGAUUUAUUAUUUGUGCGAAUGCAUUAAUAACAAUUCUAUUAAGCUGAUGCUUCAAUUAUGAAGUUAUUGGUCAAGCUACAA